This 1206-nucleotide long non-coding RNA is filed under the name Homo sapiens (human). RNAcentral describes it as "HSALNT0180872". The record is from RNAcentral. Lineage: Eukaryota; Metazoa; Chordata; Mammalia; Primates; Hominidae.
AUGAGGAAACUGAAGCGAAAGAAUGUUGACUAAUUUUGUCAAGGUCACACAACUGCUGAGCUGACACCCAGAGAAAUCAGAAUACUCGAAGGUCUACUAGAAAUAACAACGGAAGGAAGAAAUGAUUGGAUGAGUGUGUGUUUGUCAGCUUUGGACAGAACUGGGGCAGAGGUGCCUCUGAAGGUGAGAAGAAGACCAAGGGGAGCAGUCUGGCAGGAGACGUCCACUGGGAGAAGGUAUCACUGUGUUUAACACAAGCAUCCAGUUCCUUGGCAGCCCGAGUCUCUGUGCACUGGAACAGAUUUAAAACAAAUAUGAGAAAAAUCCUGACCCCAAGUCUGAUACUCUUUCAGCUCAUCCCAGAGCUCAGGUAUAAAAUAAGUUCAACACUGGCAACCAUCUGAUAACCACAGAGAAAUGAGACUGAGGAUAAAACUAAUCUAAAGAGGAUACCAACGAAGCUGUAACCCUCCAGUUACAUAAACCAGUGUCCUGAGGGAGAAGCUGGUGCCCUUUAUCACACAGCUAACAACGCUCCUGGCCCAUGGAUCAGAGAAGUUGAAGGAAAAUACAGAGGAAGUUCUAACAGUGGCAGACCUAAUUACUGCACCAUGCCAAGCAGGCGCUGGGAACAGCCUUUGGCUGACAGCCAGCAAGGAAAUGGGGACUUCAGUGCUACAACUUCAAGGAACUAAAUUUUGCCAACAAAUGUGAAUAAGCUUCCAAGUGGAUUCUUCCCCAGAGCCUCCAAAUAAGAGCCCAGCCUGGCUUUCAUCUUGAUUUCAUCUCUUUGAGACUCCAAGCAGAGAAGCUGGUCAGGCCCCCACCACUUCCUCCACCCAUCAGACCUCUGACCUACAGAACUAUCAGGUAAAAUAUUUUCCCAGGGGUUCAAGCUGAGUUUUGACCCAAGUUAUUGUCCUAGAAUCUGUGGGGGAAGUACAAGUAAACCUUAAAGAAGACAAAUAACACCUUAUGAGGUGUUUGCCUUAGCACAAAGAGGAGAAGUAGGUGAUGAAGAAUGCCUAGAGUACAUAGAGUUUCUACACAGUACUCAUGGAUUAUUUCAAUUUAUGGAAGUAUGACAUCAAGGUUGAUUGACAUGAAAUGAGCUGUUGCCUGACUCUAAAGCUGAAUGGUCAGUGGAAGAAGAGAGAGGCCACUUCACAUUCAGGUCUGAUGGUUGCAUGAGAACAGGAAACACAG